RNAcentral lists this ribosomal RNA (250 nucleotides) under uncultured prokaryote. RNAcentral's name for it is "partial 16S ribosomal RNA". It matches the Rfam family "Bacterial small subunit ribosomal RNA", at positions 524 to 773 of the family's 1533-position model. The record is from RNAcentral.
UACGGAAGGUCCGGGCGUUAUCCGGAUUUAUUGGGUUUAAAGGGAGCGCAGGCUGGCGAUUAAGCGUGACGUGAAAUGUCCCGGCUCAACCGGGGAGUUGCGUCGCGAACUGGUUGCCUUGAGUGCGUACGAGGACGGCGGAAUUCGUGGUGUAGCGGUGAAAUGCUUAGAUAUCACGAAGAACCCCGAUUGCGAAGGCAGCCGUCCAGGCCGUAACUGACGCUAAAGCUCGAAGGUGCGGGUAUCGAAC